GGUUGGCAAAAGGUGGUACCAUG
RNAcentral lists this microRNA (23 nucleotides) under Tribolium castaneum (red flour beetle). RNAcentral describes it as "tca-miR-3851k-5p". The record is from miRBase by way of RNAcentral. Lineage: Eukaryota; Metazoa; Arthropoda; Insecta; Coleoptera; Tenebrionidae.